Molecule: ribosomal RNA, 497 nt
Filed under: uncultured bacterium
Lineage: Bacteria
Description: partial 16S ribosomal RNA
Rfam family: Bacterial small subunit ribosomal RNA
Source: RNAcentral
GACGAACGCUGGCGGCGUGCCUAAUACAUGCAAGUAGAACGCUGAAGCGAGGAGCUUGCUCUUCUUGGAUGAGUUGCGCACGGGUGAGUAACGCGUAGGUAACCUGCCUUGUAGCGGGGGAUAACUAUUGGAAACGAUAGCUAAUACCGCAUAACAAUGGAUGACACAUGUCAUUUAUUUGAAAGGGGCAAUUGCUCCACUACAAGAUGGACCUUCGUUGUAUUAGCUAGUAGGUGAGGUAAUGGCUCACCUAGGCGACGAUACAUAGCCGACCUGAGAGGGUGAUCGGCCAGACUGGGACGGAGACACGGCCCAGACUCCUACGGGAGGCAGCAGUAGGGAUACUGCGGAAAGGGGGGCAAACCUGACCGAGCAACGCCGCGGGAGUGAAGAAGGGUUUCGGAUCGUAAAGCUCGGUUGUAAGUCAAGAAAGGGUGUGAGAGUGGAAAGUUCACACUGUGACGGUAGCUUACCAGAAAGGGACGGCUAACUACGUG